AACGCACCUUGCGCUCCUUGGUAUUCCGAGGAGCAUGCCUGUUUGAGUGUCAUUAAAUUCUCAACCUCUUUAGUUUGUCUAACAAACUUGAAUUGGCUUGGAUAUGGGAGUUGCGGGCUUCUAAGCAAGUCGGCUCUUCUUAAAUGCAUUAGCAGAACUUUUGUUGACCAUCAUUGGUAUGAUAAUUAUCUAUGCCAUUUCUGAUGUGAAGCAGUUUAUAAUAAAGUUCAGCUUCUAACUGUCCAUUGACUUGGACAAUUUAUUGACUAUUUGACCUCAAAUCAGGUAGGACUACCCGCUGAACUUAA
RNAcentral lists this unclassified non-coding RNA (308 nucleotides) under uncultured Clitocybe. Its description in RNAcentral is "sequence contains ITS2". The stretch from base 1 to 52 matches the Rfam family "5.8S ribosomal RNA", at positions 103 to 154 of the family's 154-position model. The record is from RNAcentral. Lineage: Eukaryota; Fungi; Basidiomycota; Agaricomycetes; Agaricales; Tricholomataceae.